Molecule: ribosomal RNA, 305 nt
Filed under: uncultured bacterium
Lineage: Bacteria
Description: bacterial SSU rRNA
Rfam family: Bacterial small subunit ribosomal RNA
Source: RNAcentral
GAGCCUACGGGACGCAGCAGUGGGGAAUAUUGGGCAAUGGGCGCAAGCCUGACCCAGCGACGCCGCGUGAGGGAAGACGGUCUUCGGAUUGUAAACCUCUUUCAGCAGGGAAGACAAAAGGACGGUACCUGCAGAAGAAGCCACGGCUAACUACGUGCCAGCAGCCGCGGUAAUACGUAGGUGGCAAGCGUUAUCCGGAUUUACUGGGUGUAAAGGGCGUGUAGGCGGGAAAGCAAGUCAGAUGUGAAAACCAUGGGCUCAACCUGUGGCCUGCAUUUGAAACUGUUUUUCUUGAGUACUGGAGG